RNAcentral lists this small nucleolar RNA (97 nucleotides) under Blastobotrys adeninivorans. Lineage: Eukaryota; Fungi; Ascomycota; Dipodascomycetes; Dipodascales; Trichomonascaceae. The record is from RNAcentral.
CUGUAAGUACACUUAAUGAUGACUAGAGUGCAUUUGGCUCGAGAUGUUUUUCGUCGAUGUGGAAAAACCCAAGCUACCUUAUUAUUUUUGUCUGACA